GACGAACGCUGGCGGCGUGCUUAACACAUGCAAGUCGAACGGUAAGGCACUACGUUGCUGGGGUACACGAGUGGCGAACGGGUGAGUAACACGUGGGUAACCUGCCCUGCACUUUGGGAUAAGCUUAGGAAACUGGGGCUAAUACCGGAUAGGAGCACGGCGUGGAUAGUGUGGAGGGGAGAUUUUGCGCGGUUGGCUGGGGACGCGGCGUAUCAGCUUGUGGGUGGGGGAGUGGCGUCCCACGACGGCGACGGGGAGCCGGCCUGGGAGGGUGGACGGCGACAUUGGGACUGCGACACGGCCCAGACUCCUACGGGAGGCAGCAGUGGGGAAUAUUGCACAAUGGGCGGAAGCCUGAUGCAGCGACGCCGCGUGGGGGAUGACGGCCUUCGGGUUGUAAACAGCUUUCGCCUGCGACGAAGCGUUUCUGACGGUAGCGGGAGAAGAAGCACCGGCUAACUACGUG
Molecule: ribosomal RNA, 466 nt
Filed under: uncultured bacterium
Lineage: Bacteria
Description: partial 16S ribosomal RNA
Rfam family: Bacterial small subunit ribosomal RNA
Source: RNAcentral